UUUGGGUUGUCUAUUGCAACUUUGUGGGAGAUAUUGUAGUUGACCCUGUGCUUCUGACCGACCAUUGAGGGUCAUUCUUGCUUUUUGGAUAAAGGAAGUACAUGGUGAUAACUUUAAUGGGUAAAUUGUUAAUGGAGGAGCAGAAAGUGAAACACAUAUAUGCAGAAUGACAUAUUGUGGACCCUAAUUUUUAGUAAGAAAUAAUUCAAUGUUUUUUG
Long non-coding RNA from Prosopis cineraria, 218 nucleotides. RefSeq lists it as uncharacterized. The record is from RefSeq and is a predicted model, not a curated record. The transcript is spliced from 3 exons. NCBI's taxonomy places the organism in Eukaryota, Viridiplantae, Streptophyta, Magnoliopsida, Fabales, Fabaceae.